Molecule: ribosomal RNA, 675 nt
Filed under: Gypsophila uralensis
Lineage: Eukaryota; Viridiplantae; Streptophyta; Magnoliopsida; Caryophyllales; Caryophyllaceae
Description: eukaryotic LSU rRNA
Rfam family: 5.8S ribosomal RNA (bases 269-422)
Source: RNAcentral
UAACAAGGUUUCCGUAGGUGAACCUGCGGAAGGAUCAUUGUCGAAACCUGCCCAGCAGAACGACCCGUGAACGUGUUUACGAACAACGGGCUAGGGGUGCUUCGUGCCCCUCGCCCGAGCAGGGGAGCGCUCACUGGUGGGGUGCUUCCCAGCUACAUAAACGAACCCCGGCGCGAAAAGCGUCAAGGAACAUGAACUCAAUGUGAGUGCCUUGUCCCUGUUCGGUUAGCCGUGCGGGGGGAGGUGCCAUGUCUUUAUAACAAUAAACGACUCUCGGCAACGGAUAUCUCGGCUCUCGCAUCGAUGAAGAACGUAGCGAAAUGCGAUACUUGGUGUGAAUUGCAGAAUCCCGUGAACCAUCGAGUCUUUGAACGCAAGUUGCGCCCGAAGCCUCGGCUAAGGGCACGUCUGCCUGGGCGUCACGCAUCGCGUCUCCCCCAAACCGCCAAGGCGGAGGGGAAGGAAGAUGGCUUCCCGUGCCUCACCCGGCGCGGUUGGCCUAAAUUUGGAGCCCGUUGCACUUAGCUCUCGCGGCGAUAGGUGGUGAACAAGGCCUUGGCCGUGCAAACAACCCGCUGUGAAGCUCUAUGUCACGUGCGCUCGUCGGACCCUUUGAAGUUGCCUUUGGUGACUUAAAACCUUUGCGACCCCAGGUCAGGCGGGGCUACCCGCUGA